Molecule: ribosomal RNA, 277 nt
Filed under: uncultured bacterium
Lineage: Bacteria
Description: partial 16S ribosomal RNA
Rfam family: Bacterial small subunit ribosomal RNA
Source: RNAcentral
GCGUGCAGGAUGAAGGCCUUCGGGUUGUAAACUGCUGUCACCCGGGACGAAGAAUUGACGGUACCGGGAGAGGAAGCCACGGCUAACUACGUGCCAGCAGCCGCGGUAAUACGUAGGUGGCGAGCGUUGUUCGGAUUUAUUGGGCGUAAAGGGUCUGUAGGGGGUUGAUUAAGUCUGAUGUGAAAUCCCGCAGCUCAACUGCGGAACUGCAUUGGAGACUGGUUGACUAGAGUUCUGGAGAGGCAAGCGGAAUUCCAGGUGUAGCGGUGGAAUGCGU